ACUCCUACGGGAGGCAGCAGUAGGGAAUCUUCCGCAAUGGGCGAAAGCCUGACGGAGCAACGCCGCGUGAGUGAUGAAGGGUUUCGGCUCGUAAAACUCUGUUAUUAGGGAAGAACAAACGUGUAAGUAACUGUGCACGUCUUGGCGGUACCUAAUCAGAAAGCCACGGCUAACUACGUGCCAGCAGCCGCGGUAAUACGUAGGUGGCAAGCGUUAUCCGGAAUUAUUGGGCGUAAAGCGCGCGUAGGCGGUUUCUUAAGUCUGAUGUGAAAGCCCACGGCUCAACCGUGGAGGGUCAUUGGAAACUGGGAGACUUGAGUGCAGAAGAGGAAAGUGGAAUUCCAUGUGUAGCGGUGAAAUGCGCAGAGAUAUGGAGGAACACCAGUGGCGAAGGCGACUUUCUGGUCUGUAACUGACGCUGAUGUGCGAAAGCGUGGGGAUCAAACAGGAUUAGAUACCCUGGUAGUCCACGCCCUAAACGAUGUCUACUAGUUGUCGGGUUUUAAUUAACUUGGUAACGCAGCUAACGCGUGAAGUAGACCGCCUGGGGAGUACGGUCGCAAGAUUAAAACUCAAAGGAAUUGACGG
RNAcentral lists this ribosomal RNA (588 nucleotides) under uncultured bacterium. RNAcentral's name for it is "bacterial SSU rRNA". It matches the Rfam family "Bacterial small subunit ribosomal RNA", at positions 335 to 916 of the family's 1533-position model. The record is from RNAcentral.